RNAcentral lists this ribosomal RNA (492 nucleotides) under uncultured bacterium. Its description in RNAcentral is "partial 16S ribosomal RNA". It matches the Rfam family "Bacterial small subunit ribosomal RNA", at positions 29 to 507 of the family's 1533-position model. The record is from RNAcentral.
AGUGAACGCUGGCGGUAGGCCUAACACAUGCAAGUCGAACGGCAGCACAGUAAGAGCUUGCUCUUACGGGUGGCGAGUGGCGGACGGGUGAGGAAUACAUCGGAAUCUACUUUUUCGUGGGGGAUAACGUAGGGAAACUUACGCUAAUACCGCAUACGACCUACGGGUGAAAGCAGGGGAUCUUCGGACCUUGCGCGAUUGAAUGAGCCGAUGUCGGAUUAGCUAGUUGGCGGGGUAAAGGCCCACCAAGGCGACGAUCCGUAGCUGGUCUGAGAGGAUGAUCGGCCACACUGGAACUGAGACACGGUCCAGACUCCUACGGGAGGCAGCAGUGGGGAAUAUUGGACAAUGGGAGCAAGCCUGAGCCAGCCAUACCGCGUGGGUGAAGAAGGCCUUCGGGUUGUAAAGCCCUUUUGUUGGGAAAGAAAAGCAGCAGGUUAAUACCCCGCUGUUCUGACGGUACCCAAAGAAGAAGCACCGGCUAACUUCGUG